RNAcentral lists this ribosomal RNA (961 nucleotides) under uncultured bacterium. RNAcentral's name for it is "bacterial SSU rRNA". It matches the Rfam family "Bacterial small subunit ribosomal RNA", at positions 9 to 966 of the family's 1533-position model. The record is from RNAcentral.
GAGUUUGAUCAUGGCUCAGGAUGAACGCUAGCGGCAGGCCUAACACAUGCAAGUCGAACGGUAACAGGGAUUGCUUGCAAUCCGCUGACGAGUGGCGCACGGGUGCGUAACGCGUAUGCAAUCUGCCUAUAACUGAGGGAUAGCCCAGAGAAAUUUGGAUUAAUACCUCAUAAUAUUGUUUUUUGGCAUCAUUAAACAAUUAAAACUUCGGUGGUUAUAGAUGAGCAUGCGUCCUAUUAGCUUGUUGGUAAGGUAACGGCUUACCAAGGCAACGAUAGGUAGGGGGCCUGAAAGGGUGAUCCCCCACACUGGUACUGAGACACGGACCAGACUCCUACGGGAGGCAGCAGUGAGGAAUAUUGCGCAAUGGAGGAAACUCUGACGCAGCCAUGCCGCGUGCAGGAAGACGGCCCUACGGGUUGUAAACUGCUUUUAUAUAGGAAGAAACCCCGAUACGUGUAUCGGCUUGACGGUACUAUAUGAAUAAGGACCGGCUAACUCCGUGCCAGCAGCCGCGGUAAUACGGAGGGUCCAAGCGUUAUCCGGAUUUAUUAGGUUUAAAGGGUCCGCAGGCGGGAUUUUAAGUCAGUGGUGAAAGCCUACAGCUCAACUGUAGAACUGCCAUUGAUACUGAUAUCCUUGAGUGUGGUUGAAGUGGGCGGAACAUGUCAUGUAGCGGUGAAAUGCAUAGAUAUGACAUAGAACACCAAUUGCGAAGGCAGCUCACUAAGCCAUUACUGACGCUGAGGGACGAAAGCGUGGGGAGCGAACAGGAUUAGAUACCCUGGUAGUCCACGCCGUAAACGAUGAUCACUCGUUGCUAGCGAUACACUGUUAGUGACCAAGCGAAAGUGUUAAGUGAUCCACCUGGGAAGUACGUUCGCAAGAAUGAAACUCAAAGGAAUUGANGGGGCCCGCACAAGCGGUGGAGCAUGGUGGUUUAAUUCGAUGAUACGCGAGG